GUCCCGUCACCCCAAUUUCGAUCACAUGUACUACACCAUAGCCACUUUCCUUUGAGUUUCAGUUUUUUGUUGCACCCCUUUGUUCUACAGGAAGCAUAGUACCACUCUGGAUCAUCAAUGAAUACAAUCCUAGCUGCCACCCAAAAAUCGCCAAACUGCAUCAUAUGAAAGAAUGUAUGUGGACAAAAACACAAGACCUGAAAGCAAAUUAGUGGACUGCUCACUGGUGGAAUAUCAACAAUUAGUGGACUAUCAACAAUUAACACCAUAGCUGAAAGAGAUAAGUACUUAGUGGUGGAGGGACAGUUUGUAGUCAGAUUAUUGUUAAUAUUUAUGCAUUAAAGCUAUAAUGUUAUAGACCACAUUGUCUUACUAUUAUUCCAUACAAUUCUUAUGGUAAAAUACAGGUUAAAAAGCCAAGAAGAUGGACCUAGUCUACAACUUUGAGCAGAACUGAAAGGCUGAUUGAAAUGAAAAGAGUCCACAUAGACAGGUAUAUAUCCCAAGAAGUGGGAUACAGUGUGCACCAUGUCAGCAGAACUUCAAAAGGGACUGAAAUCAUAUUCAGUGCAUAUAAAGUUCUUUCAGGGAUCUUAUAUGCUCGCACCACCCGAAGCUUAAGAGCCUGCCUGGUAUUCAUGGGAGAUAUCUGGCUAGCAAGAACAAACAUUUUUUGCUAUUCAAGAAGAAUCAGAGAGGCUUUGUAGAGGGAGAUUGUAUUUUGUAUUAAUAGUUGUACAUGCGUUGUAUAUAUAAGGUCUGAUGACCUUCGUUAUUGAUCGUAACCAUCCUGAUCAAUAAAUACCUAGAGAAUAGGUAUGGGUUAGUGGGCUCAAUGUCCGAUAUGAACAAUUGAUUACCUUAAAUACAUUCUCUAAUCCCAUUGGAUGAGAGAAUGAUUUGGGUAGAUAUAUUGAAAAAAUUAGGUUUCCUAUAUA
Molecule: long non-coding RNA, 938 nt
Organism: Ipomoea nil (Japanese morning glory)
Lineage: Eukaryota; Viridiplantae; Streptophyta; Magnoliopsida; Solanales; Convolvulaceae
Exons: 4
Source: RefSeq, a predicted model, not a curated record